GUGGGGAAUCUUAGACAAUGGGGGCAACCCUGAUCUAGCCAUGCCGCGUGAGUGAUGAAGGCCUUAGGGUCGUAAAGCUCUUUCGCUGGGGAAGAUAAUGACGGUACCCAGUAAAGAAACCCCGGCUAACUCCGUGCCAGCAGCCGCGGUAAUACGGAGGGGGUUAGCGUUGUUCGGAAUUACUGGGCGUAAAGCGCGCGUAGGCGGAUUGGAAAGUUGGGGGUGAAAUCCCGGGGCUCAACCCUGGAAUGGCCUUCAAAACUCCCAGUCUUGAGGUCGAGGGAGGUGAGUGGAAUUCCGAGUGUAGAGGUGAAAUUCGUAGAUAUUCGGAGGAACACCAGUGGCGAAGGCGGCUCACUGGCUCGAUACUGACGCUGAGGUGCGAAAGCGUGGGGAGCAAACAGGAUUAGAAACCCCGGUAGUCC
Molecule: ribosomal RNA, 425 nt
Filed under: uncultured bacterium
Lineage: Bacteria
Description: partial 16S ribosomal RNA
Rfam family: Bacterial small subunit ribosomal RNA
Source: RNAcentral